Molecule: long non-coding RNA, 3518 nt
Organism: Chenopodium quinoa (quinoa)
Lineage: Eukaryota; Viridiplantae; Streptophyta; Magnoliopsida; Caryophyllales; Amaranthaceae
Exons: 3
Source: RefSeq, a predicted model, not a curated record
CAAUGUCUUACACUUACCAAAUGAGAUACUUUUUUUUUUUUUUAAUGUGUUAUACUUUUAUUAUUUUUUUGGCAAACUACCCCAUUUUAAUUUAUAUAUUAAAUCUCUCUUUUCUUAUGGUUCACACUUAAACCUUUUAUUUUUUAUUUUUUUAAACCAACUUAAACUUAAUAUAUAUGCUACUACUUUUUUUAUAUAUAUAAUUAUUUCUUUCCCUCUCACAUCCCUUACUUUUCGAUAAAAUAUUAACCUGCUAUUAUUUCUUAAAUUUUUUAAAUUCUUCAACUACCUUACUUACAUCUUUACAUUUAUUUAUAUGUAGUAUAAAAGAUAAUGUAGCUAAAAUUAUAUGUCGAUUAGAAAGUACUCCGUAAUACUUAAAAAAAAAAAAAAAAAAAAGGAGGAUUAUUAAAUUUAGAUAGCCUUAAAAGAAACUACUCCAUAUUAUUUUGACUUUUGAGUGUAACUAACCUCAAAAGGAUCUUCAGUUAAAUUUUUUUUUUAGAAAAAAAUCUAUACAUACAGGUCAUACACUUUAUAAAAGUAUGAUUGUAUGAAGCCUUAUAGUUACGCACUUACGAUUCAUAUGAACAAAUUUUUGUGGCGUUAAUGUUUAUUACAACAAUGCCCCCAUCAUUAAUGAAAUUCCAAUUAUGCCCUUCCCUUAUUUUUCAUUUUCGUGCUUUCACUCUCAAUUAUCAACUGCUCACCAUCACUCAUUUCUUCUCUAUCUCUCUCCUCACUAUCGCUAUCUUUUUCCAUUAAAGCGUGCUCCUCAGUUUCCAAAAGGAUUGAUCGAAAACGGGUGGUGAUCUCGACAAUGAUGUUGGUGCUUGUUUUACAAUGGUUUUUAUCGAGGAAAUCGGACUUAAACGCCCUACCGAUCCUGGGAGUAAAUUGAAAAUUGAUGCGUUUAAUUCACCAAUCAAGAGCAAAUUAAGGUUUAUUUUUUCAAAGUUCGCAACAUCAAACAAACAUCUAGGUAUUCUAUUUUGUUCUUUAAAACUAUAAUUCUUUGCUGUUUAUUUUCUCAUGAAUUAAAAAACAUAAGAUAAUUUUUGUAUACAUGCAAUACUAAUUUAGUGGAAUUGUGAUUUCUGUAUUGUUUGUACUUUAGUGGAGAAAGUUAGGAGAUUUAUGGAGCAAAUGGAGUUUGAAAUACUCCAUACUAUGUCAAUGAUAUGUAUGUUGGUUCAGCUCUACAUUUAAUGGGUAACAUAAUAUCAUUUAUUUUUUUGACUGGUUGAUUUUGUGGUAAAUUAUUUGUGACUUGGUUCUUGGUGACUAUGUAAGACUAUCUAGCUUAUGAAAUCUUAGUUUUGUCCCAUCCUAGUUGGUGAGAAUUUUCUUAUUUUGUUAAUAGAUUAAAGAAAAUUGAAGGGAUUGAUGAAGGUGAAAGUGGGGAAUGGUUGAAGGGGAGUAAGCCAACCACAUAAAGGGAUCAAUACUUAUUUUUACUAGUGUUUCUAGCAUCUACUCACCAAUUUUGUUUGUAUGAAAUGAUUUUUAUGUUUAUCAACUAUGAACGAUUCGAGAAAUAGUUCUUAAAAUAGUUUUCAGCUACUGUGAUUGAUUCUCUCUUUUUCCUUGAGUUAACUGCAAAUUUUCUCUCUGCAAUAUUCUUAGAAUGUGUAGCUUAUUUUUAGACUGUUUCAAUCUGCCUAUGCAGGCAUGAAAAGUGAAAUAGAUGUGUGUAUAAUGACUAAUUGGUUUUCUUUAACAAAGUUAGUAGCAAUAAUUUCAUGUUGACAUGGGAAGCUGGGGUAGCAAGAUGAUCAAAUGGUGAACAUAUACACUAUAGAGGUAAGGAAUAUCUUAUUUUAGUUCUUAGCUAUAAGGCAAUUUGUAAAUUUUUUCAUGUUUACAAAUUUCUGUCCAACUUCAUGAAAACUUAGCUUCGGAUCUUAGUUUGGUCAAAACUAAUAUUGGAUCAACCACUCUGGAUAGAAUCUCUCUUCUUUUCUUUGUUGAAUGAAUUUCUUUCAAGGAUGCUACAGGUUUUGUUUAGUGCUGGCUGCCUUGACAGAAUGCUUUUCUUUCGGUUUGGUAGCUUAUCUACGUCAUCUAUUAUAUGUUUUUCCAUCUUGAUUAAAUGUAUGAAUGUUACCCCUUGACUAACUAGGCUAUGAGACUUCACUUCAUUCUUGAAUCAGACUUUUUUGUAUGUUGCUUAGUCUAUGAGCAACGGGGCCAUUGGAGAGUUGGAAGGGCUCUCCAAGAAUAUUUCUACAAGUGAAACUCUUGAGAAUUUAUGAUCUCCAAUAUUCCCUGAAAUGGGGUAUUUUGAGGAGCUCUUACAGAGCACUCGGAGAGCUCUUGUACUUGAGCUUUUCCCCUUCCCAAGCUAUUUUUCAUCUUACUUAGUCACUUGAGACAUGGUUUGAAUGAGAGAGUGGAGGAUGGAUAAUAGCAUCCCAAGUUGGGGUAGUCCUGCAUAUCUUUACUGCCUUACAAAUUGUUUAGCGUGUACUGUGCAUGUGUACUAGGUGGAGAAUGUAGAAUUAUCUGUAGCAGCAACUAGGUGACAUAUUGAGUUUAAUAUUCCCUUCAAAAGUAUCCCAUGAUAUGAAUUGCUAUUACAUCAAUUUUGCUGAUAUGUAGUUCCAAUUACGUUUGUGUGAUUUUUCUUCCUGAAAUUAAUACAUGUAUUUCCACAUAUCUAAAGAGAAGAAGCUGAUGGCCUAAUGGGCUUUGAAAAAGGUUUUGAGUGGUAGGAUAUAAGGAAAAAAAAAGCCGUGGGGUGGGUUGAAUUACUGAUUUUAAGCGGUUAGUGCAUUGUUUGUUCCUUUGUCUUUUCCUUUUUUCAUCUGUCCAAAUGUCCAAAAGAUCUUUUUAUUUUAUAAAAGGUGUAUAUGAUCAACCUCAGUCUUAUCUAUAUAUUUGGUAACCCAGUUUGAAAUUAUUAUGCAGAAUUUCACAUAAGCUAAUGGUGACAUUAUUGACUAGAAAACUGUUGAAAGAUAGUCUAAUAAGCAUUAAACAGAACUCUCAAUCAUUGGUUUAUUUUUCUUCCCGUUCUUUUCUCUGCACGAGAUGUAUGUUCAUGCUUUUUCAUCGGCCAUUGGCGUAUCAAAUAGUCAGCAGUACAUUAGUGAAUGGUGACUAAAGUGCUUCCAUUGAGUUCUCCCCUCUUUUAUCGCAGCAGGUAGAUAGCCGCACAUGCACCAACCUGCUGUAGCAAUUGCCUAGCAGCCUCUAGCCACAAGACGCAGCAUAUUUGAGUAAUUUAAUUUCUAACUUAACUCGGGUGUAAAGUACAUGGAAGUGAGAUAUAUAUAUAUUGAAGACAGAGACAAAGAGUUGCUCUAUAUUAGAGCUUUAGAUUUUCUAUUCUUUAGACGUUACAAUCCCUUCCUCGUGUACUGAAUUAUAUACAAACAAUUAGUAGUAUUGGUAAUGUACUAAAUUGUGAAUCUACUUAGGAUCUUAAGGGUAUAGAUACAUUAUGUACUGAUAUUUCAUUAAGUAUUGUUUUUGGGAUUUUGAUGAGUUUACAAGCAUUAUGUUAUAAAAUCAAU